Long non-coding RNA from Xenopus tropicalis (tropical clawed frog), 3138 nucleotides. RefSeq lists it as uncharacterized. Lineage: Eukaryota; Metazoa; Chordata; Amphibia; Anura; Pipidae. The transcript is spliced from 4 exons. The record is from RefSeq and is a predicted model, not a curated record.
AGAUUCUCCUGAAGUGAUUGAGCCUCCUGAUGUUGGAAUGUCUCACACUAUUGGACAAAUGAUCCUAGAACAGGAGGAGGGUGGAUUUGAACUGGAAGAGGACACGGUGGCAAACUUCACUGCCACCUCCUUUAGUGUCCCCUCAGCUGUAAGUACAUUCCAUGUGUUCUUUAAAAAUGAUUCACAUAUAUAUCAGUCUUUUUAUUAAAUAUAAUUCCCUUUGUUCUUUAACAGUGUGAAGAAGCUUCCAAUAGCUCAGAGUCUGUCACUGAGCUACUAGGUGCAGAAGGACCCCCUGAAAGGUAUUAGUUUGGACUAUAUUCUCACUAUUAUUAGUAUUCUGCUGUUAUUCUUUUUACCAUUAUUAUUAUUAUAAUAAAAUAACUAUAACUCUCUACCUCUAACUCUUUUCAUUUCAGCACCAUGCCCAGAUCUCUGGAAAACUUCAAUCUGGGAAAAGUAUUGGGCGAAGGCACCUUUGGAAAGGUGGGUUGCUGUGUCCCUAAUAAGGGUUAGUACCCUGCUAAAGCAUAGGCACUGACCUUACUGUCUCAUUCCAGGUGUUCCUGGCAGAGUACAAGGACACAAAACAACUGUGUGCCAUAAAGACCCUUAAGAAAGAGAGGAUUAUUGCCAAGAAUGAUAUCAAGAGUGUUUUCAAGGAGAAGCGAAUCCUUCAGAAGGUUACCAGCGCAGAGCACCCAUUCCUGGUUUCCUUAUACGCCACAUUCCAGAGUGAGAAUCACCUCUUUUUUGUAAUGGAAUAUCUUCCUGGAGGUGAUCUGUGCCAUCUGCUCGAGCAUCAAGGAGCAUUUGAGGAAUCAAAAGCCAUGUUUUACACUGCCUGUAUAGUGCUCGGCCUGGAGGAAUUGCACCGGAACAAUAUUGUUCAUAGAGAUCUGAAACUGGAAAAUCUAAUGGUGGAUGUACAUGGCUAUCUGAAAAUCGUGGAUUUUGGCCUGAGUAAAGAUGGUAAUGUUUGUUAUAAUUGCAAACUUAUAAGGGAAUAGUUGGGGUUGAUUUGGAUGAUAUUUAGAUAUAUGUAUCUGUGUAUGUGCAGUAUGUAUGCAAGCAGCUGAGGGAAGUCUUUCACAGAUAGGGAUACAGAUCAUCUUACUGUGUUUUUUUGUCUUUAAGGUUUCAGAUAUGGAGAUCGCAGUAAGACCCAGUGCGGAACAAACUGCUACAUGGCCCCAGAGAUCAUUGACGAGAUGGCAUACAGCAGGGCCGUUGACUGGUGGGCCCUCGGGGUUGUAUUAUAUGUCAUGCUCAUGUUCCAGGUAAGCAUAAUGCCUAGAAAUCAGCUAUCACUGCCAUUAUAGUGAUAAAUGGGAUUUUAAAACACUUAAAUUAUAUUAAAUUAGAACACUGGUUUAAUAAAGGAAUAAUAUUUCAUGUUUCAGUUCCCAUUUGAUGCAGAAGAUGACAUGGAAUUAUUUGAGAGCAUCAGGAACGACAAACCUGCCCUGACAGAGGAAUUGUCUGAGGAAGCUCAGUGCCUAAUACUAAGAGUAAGUCGAUGAUGAUUUGGCUGUGGGACUGGAAUGGGGGCCUGAUGGUUCUGUCAAUUUAACAAUGAUUUUACAUUUAUUAUAGUUACUGGAGAAAAAUCCAUGUGAUCGCCUCGGAUCUAGCGAGGCCGGUGCUGAAGAGGUUAAAGCCCAUGAAUUCUUUGAAGUAAGUUUAUAUUGUAAUUAUGGUGCAUCAAGCCAGGAAUACAGUAGGACCUCUAAUGAGCAUAACCCUUUAUACUUCCUGUAUCUGUCAGUGUUUAACCCUGUAUAACCCUUUAUACUUCCUGUAUCUGUCAGUGUUUAACCCUGUAUAACCCUUUAUACUUCCUGUAUCUGUCAGUGUUUAACCCUGUAUAACCCUUUAUACUUCCUGUAUCUGUCAGUGUUUAACCCUGUAUAACCCUUUAUACUUCCUGUAUCUGUCAGUGUUUAACCCUGUAUAACCCUUUAUACUUCCUGUAUCUGUCAGUGUUUAACCCUGUAUAACCCUUUAUACUUCCUGUAUCUGUCAGUGUUUAACCCUGUAUAACCCUUUAUACUUCCUGUAUCUGUCAGUGUUUAACCCUGUAUAACCCUUUAUACUUCCUGUAUCUGUCAGUGUUUAACCCUGUAUAACCCUUUAUACUUCCUGUAUCUGUCAGUGUUUAACCCUGUAUAACCCUUUAUACUUCCUGUAUCUGUCAGUGUUUAACCCUGUAUAACCCUUUAUACUUCCUGUAUCUGUCAGUGUUUAACCCUGUAUAACCCUUUAUACUUCCUGUAUCUGUCAGUGUUUAACCCUGUAUAACCCUUUAUACUUCCUGUAUCUGUCAGUGUUUAACCCUGUAUAACCCUUUAUACUUCCUGUAUCUGUCAGUGUUUAACCCUGUAUAACCCUUUAUACUUCCUGUAUCUGUCAGUGUUUAACCCUGUAUAACCCUUUAUACUUCCUGUAUCUGUCAGUGUUUAACCCUGUAUAACCCUUUAUACUUCCUGUAUCUGUCAGUGUUUAACCCUGUAUAACCCUUUAUACUUCCUGUAUCUGUCAGUGUUUAACCCUGUAUAACCCUUUAUACUUCCUGUAUCUGUCAGUGUUUAACCCUGUAUAACCCUUUAUACUUCACUGUAUCUAUCAGUGUUUGUAUGUAAUCUGAAUGUUUCAUGUGUGUAGCUAUUUAAUAUCACCUAUUUUACAGGAUAUUGAUUGGGAAGAAUUUCUUGAAAGAGAAUUGAUGCCUCCAUUUAAACCAGAUGUCAGUGGCCUUACAGAGAGUACGAGGCAAUCUGAAUGCCAAGCCUGGGGAUUAAUGCCACCAGCUGAAGCCAUAUCACCAGAGGCACAAGAGCUAUUUGAAGGAUUCGACUAUUCAGCUGAGUGAGAGGCAAUUGCAAGGGGCAGAUAUAUGACUGGAAAAGGGCGGGUGGAGGGCCAGUCCAUAUACUAAUCAGAAGCCCCACUGACUUAAAGUUAAUAUCAAAUUCCCCAAGUCAUCAGUUUCUGAAGGAAGAGUCUAAUGGUGGCUCCAAAGUAUCUGUACAUCAGCCCUGAGGAGCAGAGUUCUGGACUGAGUUUGAAGAGACCCUGGCAUUUCAAGUACAAAGAGAUCCAAACAGCCCCCAGUGGCAUUUGCCAGAAUCUACAGAU